This 907-nucleotide long non-coding RNA is filed under the name Sinocyclocheilus grahami. RNAcentral describes it as "lncRNA (ENSSGRG00000018120.1)". The record is from RNAcentral. Lineage: Eukaryota; Metazoa; Chordata; Actinopteri; Cypriniformes; Cyprinidae.
CGUUGUAAUUCAUUCUCACCCACAGGAGCAAAAGGACAGGAGAAGAAAACACAAUGCUAAAACAAAACAAACAAUUAAAAUGGACUCAGAGGAUGGAGUCUUUAAAUGGACUGAUGCCAACACGGCAGAUCUGAUUGUAUGGAGAGUCAGUAACAACAGUUUGUUUACAGGCAGGAGAAAUGCAGCCAUCAAAGCCUUCGAGCUGUAUGUGAAGGAGAACCAGCUGGCGGGGAAAGUGACGCCUGCAUGGGUUCGAAAGAAGUGGGAGAAUCUAAAACAGAAGUAUAAGGACCUCAAAAGCCUCAGUAUGGUUGGGGGAGACGCAUCAAUUGCAACCUGGAAGUGGUAUACAAUCAUGGAUGGAGCACUGAGUAGCGAGACCCCCCUCAACCAUUUCAUCAUGCCUGUUCAAGUGUCCUCAUCUGCUCAGGAUGCUCCACCCCUCAAGCAGAGAAAGGAAGAGGACUGGCUGACAGCUGUGCAGGGAAUGGAAAGGAGACAGGAGGAACGAGAGAGGCAAGCUUCAGAGAGAGAGGACGAGAGAGACAGACGAGCUGCAGCAAGAGAAGAAGAGCGAGACAGACGGGCUGCAGAGAGGGAUGCUGAAAGAGAUCGAAGGGCUGCAGAGAGAGAAGUAGUGAGAGAGAGAGAGACGCUGGAGAGGGAGGAGAGGAGGGAACGAGAAUUGUUUGCGAGACAGGAACGGUGGGAGAAAGACAUGCUGGCUAGAGAAGAAAGGCAGGAAAGGGACUACAGAGAAAGAGAGGAAAGGAGAGAAAGAGAAGCUGCUGCUAGAGAAGAGAGGCUUUUUAAGCUCCUUGAGACAUUUAUGGCCAAUAAGUAAAACUAUUACCGAUACAUUCCAAGAAUUGCUUAUUUUCUACAAAUAAACUCUUUUGCAUUGCCA